Molecule: long non-coding RNA, 765 nt
Organism: Drosophila miranda
Lineage: Eukaryota; Metazoa; Arthropoda; Insecta; Diptera; Drosophilidae
Exons: 3
Source: RefSeq, a predicted model, not a curated record
CAUCUGCUCUCAGCUGACAUUGAAACCGACACUCCCGUCGCCUGGGCAAGCUCUGGUCUGGCGCCUUCUCGGCGGACCAUCCCCUGAGUGAAGUGCUCGCGUGUGGCCAUAAGUACAGCUAUUUCCCAUCUGCGGCAGGCCUCAUGUUGCUGCGGCCGUAUAAAUACUUGGACCAUCCGAUGAAUUGCGAUAGUGGUAAUGAAACGAUAAUUUUUUCAAUUUGAAAAAAUGCAAGAUGGCCCGCUCCGACAAGGUUAAGUUUGAGGCACAGGCCAAAAUCAUUCCUCAAGAGGCCACGAUCAUAUAUGUACCAGCGCUUCCAAAAGCUGUUCGACUCAGCUGAGGCUAAAGACUUUUGGCAAGAGUACUGCAAGGAGGUCAAAAUUUUCCAGGCAACCACUAAAAACAUGAAGCCAAGUCUAUGCGUCGCAAUGGACGAGCGCAUGUACAACAACCUCAUUAAAGCCGGACAAGAAAAUACUCCAGCGCCCGCUGAAACCCAAUAAAACCAACUAUACUGUUAAAGUACCCAGCAUUUGUAGUUCUGCACAAUUCAGCUACAGCUCAAGAAGACGACACCACCGUGGGCAAAGUUGUACUGCAAAAUUAAUAGAAUUGAAACUACAUACACAAUGUAUUACACAUGCAUAUCAAGUUCCUUAUGUGACGUAGUUUAGACUAUGGUAGAGGCAUCUUCUUCCAGAAGAUCUAGUUGACCCUACAUACAAAUUACAAUGUAUUUCGUUAACAAUGAAUAAAACUAUA